GGUAAUGACGGCCGCGGGGCCGGGGGAAUACGGGGGGGGCAAGCGGUGUGCGGAAGCAGUGGGCGUAAAGCGCGGGUAGGCGGCCCGGGAAGUCCGCGGUGAAAGUCCAGGGCUCAACCCUGGGAUGCCGGUGGAUACUGUCGGGCUCGAGUCCGGAAGAGGCGAGUGGAAUUCCUGGUGUAGCGGUGAAAUGCGCAGAUAUCAGGAGGAACACCAAUGGCGAAGGCAGCUCGCUGGGACGUGACUGACGCUGAGACGCGAAAGCGUGGGGAGCAAACAGGAUUAGAUACCCGGGUAGUC
Molecule: ribosomal RNA, 300 nt
Filed under: uncultured Vagococcus sp.
Lineage: Bacteria; Bacillati; Bacillota; Bacilli; Lactobacillales; Enterococcaceae
Description: bacterial SSU rRNA
Rfam family: Bacterial small subunit ribosomal RNA
Source: RNAcentral